Molecule: non-coding RNA, 69 nt
Organism: Podarcis lilfordi (Lilford's wall lizard)
Lineage: Eukaryota; Metazoa; Chordata; Lepidosauria; Squamata; Lacertidae
Source: the annotation of a GenBank genome assembly
GGCCACAGCUUAGUGGAAGAGCAUCUGCUUUUCAUUCAAAAGGUCCAGGUUCAAGCCCCGGCAGCUUCA